This 215-nucleotide long non-coding RNA is filed under the name Elaeis guineensis (African oil palm). RNAcentral's name for it is "long non-coding RNA (EGUI_LNC036479)". Lineage: Eukaryota; Viridiplantae; Streptophyta; Magnoliopsida; Arecales; Arecaceae. The record is from RNAcentral.
UUUGUUACAUUUAAAGCAAACCAUGAAAUACUUUUUAGAUGAAUUGUAACCAAUAUUCUAUUUUCUUAAUGAAUUGUAACCAAUUUUAAUUUUAUUAAAAAUAUUCUUUUGAUUAUUUAAAAUUGCUUGAAGCUUUAGAGAUCCAAUGUAAGUUUUUCAAUCAUGGACUUCAAGUUUUCUAUCUUUUUUCUCAAUUUUAUAUUUUCUUCCAAAAG